Molecule: ribosomal RNA, 35 nt
Filed under: Lunasporangiospora chienii
Lineage: Eukaryota; Fungi; Mortierellomycota; Mortierellomycetes; Mortierellales; Mortierellaceae
Description: Mortierella chienii partial 28S ribosomal RNA
Source: RNAcentral
UCGAUCUCAAAUCAAGUAGACUACCCGCUGAACUU